Molecule: ribosomal RNA, 278 nt
Filed under: uncultured bacterium
Lineage: Bacteria
Description: partial 16S ribosomal RNA
Rfam family: Bacterial small subunit ribosomal RNA
Source: RNAcentral
UGCCAGCAGCCGCGGUAAUACGUAGGUGGCGAGCGUUGUCCGGAAUUAUUGGGCGUAAAGCGCGCGCAGGCGGUCGGGUAAGUCUGAUGUUAAAGCCCGGGGCUCAACCCCGGUUCGCAUUGGAAACUGCUCGACUUGAGUGCAGAAGAGGAAAGCGGAAUUCCACGUGUAGCGGUGAAAUGCGUAGAGAUGUGGAGGAACACCAGUGGCGAAGGCGGCUUUCUGGUCUGUAACUGACGCUGAGGCGCGAAAGCGUGGGGAGCAAACAGGAUUAGAUA